This 328-nucleotide ribosomal RNA is filed under the name uncultured eukaryote. Its description in RNAcentral is "partial 18S ribosomal RNA". It matches the Rfam family "Eukaryotic small subunit ribosomal RNA", at positions 1470 to 1796 of the family's 1831-position model. The record is from RNAcentral.
CCCUUAGAUGUCCUGGGCUGCACGCGCGCUACACUGAUGUGUCCAGUAAGCACCUAACCUCUUCCGAAAGGAACGGGUAACCUUUGCAAAGCACAUCGUGAUGGGGAUAGAUUAUUGCAAUUAUUAGUCUUGAACGAGGAAUUCCUAGUAAGCACAAGUCAUCAGCUUGUGUUGAUUACGUCCCUGCCCUUUGUACACACCGCCCGUCGCUCCUACCGAUUGGGUGUGCUGGUGAAAUGUUCGGAUCGGCCGUUUGUCGCGGUUUCCGCGUCAUGUGGCUGAGAAGUUCAUUAAACCCUCCCACCGAGAGGAAGGAGAAGUCGUAACA